Molecule: unclassified non-coding RNA, 345 nt
Filed under: soil metagenome
Description: partial contains 5.8S ribosomal RNA, internal transcribed spacer 2, and large subunit ribosomal RNA
Rfam family: 5.8S ribosomal RNA (bases 1-120)
Source: RNAcentral
GAUGAAGAACGUAGCGAAAUGCGAUACGUAAUGUGAAUUGCAGAAUUCAGUGAAUCAUCGAGUCUUUGAACGCACAUUGCGCCCCCUGGUAUUCCGGGGGGCAUGCCUGUCCGAGCGUCAUUGCUGCCCUCAAGCACGGCUUGUGUGUUGGGCCUCCGUCCUCCUCCCGGGGGCCGGGCCCGAAAGGCAGCGGCGGCACCGCGUCCGGUCCUCGAGCGUAUGGGGCUUCGUCACCCGCUCUUGUAGGCCCGGCCGGCGCUUGCCGACACAUCAAUCUUUUUUCCCGGUUGACCUCGGAUCAGGUAGGGAUACCCGCUGAACUUAAGCAUAUCAAUAAGCGGAGGA